This 809-nucleotide ribosomal RNA is filed under the name uncultured Serratia sp. RNAcentral describes it as "bacterial SSU rRNA". It matches the Rfam family "Bacterial small subunit ribosomal RNA", at positions 546 to 1355 of the family's 1533-position model. Lineage: Bacteria; Pseudomonadati; Pseudomonadota; Gammaproteobacteria; Enterobacterales; Yersiniaceae. The record is from RNAcentral.
CGGAAUUACUGGGCGUAAAGCGCACGCAGGCGGUUUGUUAAGUCAGAUGUGAAAUCCCCGGGCUCAACCUGGGAACUGCAUUUGAAACUGGCAAGCUAGAGUCUCGUAGAGGGGGGUAGAAUUCCAGGUGUAGCGGUGAAAUGCGUAGAGAUCUGGAGGAAUACCGGUGGCGAAGGCGGCCCCCUGGACGAAGACUGACGCUCAGGUGCGAAAGCGUGGGGAGCAAACAGGACUUGAUACCCUGGUAGUCCACGCUGUAAACGAUGUCGAUUUGGAGGUUGUGCCCUUGAGGCGUGGCUUCCGGAGCUAACGCGUUAAAUCGACCGCCUGGGGAGUACGGCCGCAAGGUUAAAACUCAAAUGAAUUGACGGGGGCCCGCACAAGCGGUGGAGCAUGUGGUUUAAUUCGAUGCAACGCGAAGAACCUUACCUACUCUUGACAUCCAGAGAACUUUCCAGAGAUGGAUUGGUGCCUUCGGGAACUCUGAGACAGGUGCUGCAUGGCUGUCGUCAGCUCGUGUGGUGAAAUGUUGGGUUAAGUCCCGCAACGAGCGCAACCCUUAUCCUUUGUUGCCAGCGGUUCGGCCGGGAACUCAAAGGAGAUCUGCCAGUGAUAACUGGAGGAAGGUGGGGAUGACGUCAAGUCAUCAUGGCCCUUACGAGUAGGGCUACACACGUGCUACAAUGGCAUAUACAAAGAGAAGCGACCUCGCGAGAGCAAGCGGACCUCAUAAAGUAUGUCGUAGUCCGGAUUGGAGUCUGCAACUCGACUCCAUGAAGUCGGAAUCGCUAGUAAUCGUAGAUCAGAAU